This is a long non-coding RNA of Conger conger (European conger), 1571 nucleotides long. RefSeq lists it as uncharacterized. NCBI's taxonomy places the organism in Eukaryota, Metazoa, Chordata, Actinopteri, Anguilliformes, Congridae. The transcript has 4 exons. The record is from RefSeq and is a predicted model, not a curated record.
ACGGUCGCGGUAACGUUCGUGUUUUGUUGCGCGAAGAGAGAACGGGACGUUUCUGUCCUCGUCACAGUAAUGCCGCGUGUCUGUCAUGUCGGACGAGCUCACAAUUCAUUCCAAAAGGCAGGUAGGCAGAAAGGAAUCCAUUUUUAUUAACUCAUAAGCAGAGCUUUAGAAAAGCAAUUUCAUGCUUGAGGAAAUGGACCUGGAAUCUGGCAUUGUCCCGGUGAUUAAUUCGGCUUUUUCAAGAACAAAAGAGGAACAGACCACCAACCCCUGGGUGACCCAAUACCAACCACUGUAAAGCCAGCAGAUCAUCAUACUGUAAGCUUUCUUCCAUCAUACGCCUGCAAUAGCAACCUGCCCAACUGGACCCCCCCAUCCAACCCCCGGGGAUGUUAUCCACAGAAAGAAAAGACUAAACUGGGAAGACAGCUCUGACAUGAAGCAUUUCUCGCAUCCUCCUCUUCAUCAAGAUCAAACUUCUCAUCCUCAGGCAAUCAAAUGUUUUCUGACCACCCUGGAUGUCUACUGAAUUCCUGAGAAAGUAGCUCUCAGGUUCUGCAUCACGCAUUCUUGUCUCUUCUCCUCCUCUCAGAACUCUAAGCAGUUCCUCUAGGCCAGUAGUAUUCAACCUUGUCCGGCUCAAGAGCUACGUUGAUAAAAAAAAGAAAAAAUCUUUGCAAGAGCCAUAUUUCUAACCCAACUAUUUCCUCCAUCAAACCAUGAUGAAUUUUACAAUAAGGCUACUAUGAAUAUGUUAUUAGAAAUGAAAAGCAUGAUGUAUAGUGCAAUAGCUGUAAUUCACUAUUACCGCGUGGUUACAAAGGCAGUGUUUCCAAAGAAUUGGAAUGUCAGUGCAUUAUAAUUACUAAAUGCUUUCCCCUGACAAUUCAAUUGCUUCAAGUGCUAAUCGGUCCAUAGCAGCGACAACCCAUUGCUAAACAUCACAAAGUGCUUAACAGUUGGUAACGCACAGGUUUGGCAAAAUUCAUAACAGCAACCGACAGCCAUGCAUUAUGUGCGCCCACAAAACCAUCAGAAACACUUCAGGCCCAACCCCCAUUGGGGAAAGAUUUUGUGGUGUUUCCAUAGGAAAACAAUGAAGCUGUCAGUUACGACUCUUUCAAUUAGGACAAAAAGUGAUAGUGAUUGUAAAAAUCCCCCGAAAAAGUUACCAGGAAAUAGAUUUUUAAAAGCCAGAUUUGCACUUCUCUUUGAUGACAAUGAAACCAGUGGUGCCAGCUAUUAGCAUUAGCUGGCAAAAUGGCAUCUGCAACUACAAACACGUUAAAAACUGAAACCGAGCAGGUCUAGUUAGUUAGUCUAUGCAAAUACUUAGUCUACCUUUCAAGGUGACGGAUCAUAAUAUGGUUGACCUGGUUCCUUACUGGAGGAUUUAAUAAAAUAUAAGAUAUCAGGGAAUGAUAGCUUAUAUAAGGACACUGAAUUGGAUCCACCCUGUAACCACAUAAUGACAUGGGUUGUUUUGCCAAAAUUCCUCUGCUGGUCUUUUGGAAAUAAAGAUUGCAUGUAAUUUUCUGACAUUAUUAUGUAUUAAAAUACUAAAACAGUGA